GACGUAGGGGGCGAGCGUUGUCCGGAUUCAUUGGGCGUAAAGGGCGAGUUGGUGGCUCAGUAAGUCGGAUGUGAAAACUCCAGGCUCAACCUGGAGAGGCCAUCCGAUACUGCUGUGGCUAGAGUCCGGUAGGGGUCUGUGGAAUAUCCGGUGUAGCGGUGAAAUGCGCAGAUAUCGGGUGGAACACCAGUAGCGAAGGCGGCAGACUGGGCCGGAACUGACACUGAAUCGCGAAAGCGUGGGGAGCAAACAGG
RNAcentral lists this unclassified non-coding RNA (254 nucleotides) under uncultured Acidimicrobiia bacterium. RNAcentral describes it as "contains 16S-23S intergenic spacer region". It matches the Rfam family "Bacterial small subunit ribosomal RNA", at positions 524 to 776 of the family's 1533-position model. The record is from RNAcentral. Lineage: Bacteria; Bacillati; Actinomycetota; Acidimicrobiia.